RNAcentral lists this long non-coding RNA (801 nucleotides) under Vigna radiata. Its description in RNAcentral is "long non-coding RNA (VRAD_LNC018512)". Lineage: Eukaryota; Viridiplantae; Streptophyta; Magnoliopsida; Fabales; Fabaceae. The record is from RNAcentral.
UAUGUUGAAGAAGAAGAAAGUGAGAAGUUGAAGGAAAUUGAAAUGGCUAAAGCACAACAGGCGAGACCAACAUGGCAACCCUGUCGGGGCGACAGAGAGAUUUUCCUUUCAUUCCUUCCAAAUCACAGCAUAUUAGAGAGGAUGAGAAAAAUCAACAUCCUCCAAUUACUCAUUUUCAAAUGAAAUCAAAAACAAAUUUAAUUCACAAUUCAUCUAAGAAAAUUCACGUAAAUAGUGAAUUCCCUCCAAAAUAACAAAGCAUUAGGAGCUAGGAAUUGAUUAUGUUUGUAACAAGUUUGGUACAUAUUAUUUUUAUACACUAAUUUGAGGAGAAGUGUUGGAUAUAUUAUUUUUAUUUUAUCUUUAUAUUUUAUUUUUAGUUAGUUUGUUAUUAUUCCCUAUUUGUAUUUUGGGCUUAGCCCAUAUUUCUUCUAUUAUAAAGAGUAUUUUAUGUGUAUAUUCAAUGUAAGAGAGAUUAAUCUCAUGCAUAAUUUUUCAUUAUAUUUAACAACAAAAAAGUAAAAUUAAUUUUUCUAUAUAUUAAAGUUAGUUUAUAUAUGUGUUUGUUUCAGGUGUUGCCAGACAGGUUGUGUCAUAGACUAGACGAGUUAUCCAAACUCUAAAAUUGUUUGUCUUGUUACGCUCCUUUAUAUUGUCCUUUAGGUCUGUAAGGUCUUCCGUUCAUCCAGAACUAUUUAGAUUAUACUUGUAGAAGAUACUCUGAUGUUAAAGUGAGUAGUUGACCAAUCAGUGUCGUAUAAAGUGUAAUGAUGCAUGUGUUCUUAAAGCCAUACCUUAUAC